Oncorhynchus tshawytscha (Chinook salmon) is the source of this 314-nucleotide long non-coding RNA. NCBI's taxonomy places the organism in Eukaryota, Metazoa, Chordata, Actinopteri, Salmoniformes, Salmonidae. The record is from Ensembl.
ACUAAUGCUCCUCAGCUACAACAGGUCUAAUAUUAUUACUAAUGCUUCUCAGCUACAACAGGUCUAAUAUUAUUACUAAUGCUUCUCAGCUACAACAGGUCUAAUAUUAUUACUAAUGCUUCUCAGCUACAACAGGUGCAGAGGGAAGGUCUCAGAGUUACCUCUCCACCCCAAAUGCAAUAACUUGUAUAAGAGGUCAUAUGAAGACACAGCUCCCAGCAACCAGAGGAGAGAGAGAGAGUGUGGGAGAGAAAAAUACGGAAAAAAAGUGAUGACUCAUUGCCAGUAAGGAUGCAGACACAGAUCGAUGGUGC